RNAcentral lists this transfer RNA (67 nucleotides) under Leptospirillum ferriphilum ML-04. Its description in RNAcentral is "tRNA-Val (CAC) (tRNA-Val-CAC-2-1)". It matches the Rfam family "tRNA", at positions 9 to 71 of the family's 71-position model. From Rfam's summary of the family: Transfer RNA (tRNA) molecules are approximately 80 nucleotides in length. Their secondary structure includes four short double-helical elements and three loops (D, anti-codon, and T loops). Further hydrogen bonds mediate the characteristic L-shaped molecular structure. tRNAs have two regions of fundamental functional importance: the anti-codon, which is responsible for specific mRNA codon recognition, and the 3' end, to which the tRNAs corresponding amino acid is attached (by aminoacyl-tRNA synthetases). tRNAs cope with the degeneracy of the genetic code in two manners: having more than one tRNA (with a specific anti-codon) for a particular amino acid; and 'wobble' base-pairing, i.e. permitting non-standard base-pairing at the 3rd anti-codon position. Lineage: Bacteria; Pseudomonadati; Nitrospirota; Nitrospiria; Nitrospirales; Nitrospiraceae. The record is from RNAcentral.
GGAGAAAAUGAUACUUACUGCCUUCACACGGCAGGGGUCACAGGUUCGAGCCCUGUAUCGCCCACCA